GGGAAGUGACGGGGAUCGGACCCGCGCCCCACGCCGGCCCGAGGGCAGGGAAGUGACGGGGAUCAGACCCGCGCCCCACGCCGGCCCGAGGGCAGGGAAUGACGGGGAUCGGACCCGCGCCCCACGCCGGCCCGAGGGCAGGGAAGUGACGGGGAUCAGACCCGCGCCCCACGCCGGCCCGAGGGCAUGGAAGUGACGGGGAUCAGACCCGCGCCCCACGCCGGCCCGAGGGCAUGGAAUGACGGGGAUCAGACCCGUGCCCCACGCCGGCCCGAGGGCAUGGAAUGACGGGGAUCAGACCCGCGCCCCACGCCCGGCCCGAGGGCAGGGAAUGACGGGGAUCAGACCCGCGCCCCACGCCGGCCCGAGGGGGGGAGUGACGGGGAUCAGACCCCUGCCCCACGCCGGCCCGAGGGGGGGAGUGACAGGGAUCAGACCCGCGCCCCACGCC
This is a long non-coding RNA of Gopherus flavomarginatus (Mexican gopher tortoise), 451 nucleotides long. RefSeq lists it as uncharacterized. The transcript is spliced from 5 exons. The record is from RefSeq and is a predicted model, not a curated record. Lineage: Eukaryota; Metazoa; Chordata; Testudines; Testudinidae.